RNAcentral lists this ribosomal RNA (254 nucleotides) under uncultured bacterium. RNAcentral's name for it is "partial 16S ribosomal RNA". It matches the Rfam family "Bacterial small subunit ribosomal RNA", at positions 524 to 776 of the family's 1533-position model. The record is from RNAcentral.
UACGGGGGGAGCAAGCGUUGUUCGGAUUUACUGGGCGUAAAGGGCGCGUAGGCGGUCGUGACAAGUCACUUGUGAAAUCUCCGGGCUUAACUCGGAACGGUCAAGUGAUACUGUCGGACUAGAGUACAGAAGGGGCAACUGGAAUUCUCGGUGUAGCGGUGAAAUGCGUAGAUAUCGAGAGGAACACCUGCGGCGAAGGCGGGUUGCUGGGCUGAUACUGACGCUGAGGCGCGAAAGCCAGGGGAGCGAGCGGG